GUCCCGAACUUGUGGGAAUGUUGCCGAGUAAUCUUCCUUGCCUCAAAACUCUUGAGAUUAUAAAUUGCCCACAGCUGCUGGUUAAAGCUUCUAGCCUUAUUCUCCCGUCACUCACCUCCCUGUCCAUGAGUGAUGUUCGGCUUCCAAGCCUUCCAGUGCUCCUUGAGACAUGUAACGUGCUUGAACCCAGUUCCCUUACUUGCUUAGAUAUUAGAAAUGUUUCAAUCCCUGAGUCCCUGUGCAAUCCAAGCAUAGAUGAUGAAGUGAUGUUGGCAAAUGCAAUGUCUAAGCAUCUGAGUUCAGUAACUUCCUUGAGCAUUGAGCAGAUUCAGAAACUUGCAUUAUUGCCAAAAUGGCUUACCCAGGGGCUUAAAGGACUCAAAGAAUUGAAUAUUUUUUGUUGUGAAGAACUCACAACACUGUGGCAGAAUGAGGCGGGACUACAACGCAGUCUCCUUGCCUUGCAACAUUUGGGCAUUAAUUAUUGUCCGCAACUUGUUUCAUUGUUUGAAGAAGACGUGGAUGUAGAAAACGAAGGGCAACAUCAACUUGAGUAUCUAGAGAUAUAUGAUUGUGGAAAGCUGGAGAAAUCGUCGCGGGGGCUACGUACCCUCACUUCUCUUCGAGAGAUGCAUAUCAGGGGGUGUCCAAGUCUGGUAUCUUUUUCAGAGACAGGCUUUCCGCCUAGCCUAAAGAAACUUCAUAUUUGGCAUGGAUGUAAGGCUCUGCGGUCCUUACCUGGGUGGACAGCACACGACUCUAAUCUGGAGUGGUUGUGGAUAAACGGGUGUGAUAAUCUGGAGUCCUUUCGGGAAGAAUGGGUCCACCACCCCCCAACAAAACUGUCAUAUUUGUUUAUCAGCAAUUGCAAAAAACUAGAAUCGGUCAGUUUAUGCAACAACAGCCUCCUCGCUUCCCUUAAUCUUCUGUGGAUAGAUAAUUGGCCUGCAGGAGGAGGAAUCGUCUCCUCCUACAUUCUAGAGAAAGGGAAUUUCCUCACCAACCUCACUUAUCUUCGAAUCGGGAAUAUGAAGAUUGGUAAGCCCCUAUCAGAGUGGGGUUUGCACAGAUUCUCCUCUCUUAAAACUCUCUGGCUUGGAGGCCCAAGUAACGUAUCAGAAGAAGAAGAAGAAGAAGAAUAUUAUUCGGUGUCCAGCUUUCCAGUAGAUGGGAUGUUGCUGCCCACCUGUCUGAUGUCUCUCGUCAUUUGGAAUUUCCCAAAUCUGGAGAAGAUAUCUUCUUCCAUGGAGACCAUUCAAAACCUCACCCAUCUUUAUUUCAGUAAUUGCCCUAGGCUCGCAUCUUUUCCCGAGCAAGGAGGGCUGCCUCCCUCGCUUUUGCAACUUGGUUUCUCCGGAUGUCCAAUAAUGAAACGGCGGUGUGAAAAGGGGAAAGGCCAAUAUUGGCCCCUCAUAGCUCCCAUUCCUGCAGUCUUCAUGGAAGGCAGAUACAUCUUUGAAGGGGAAGGGAAAAGGCCAACAUGAGCAAUCAAAACUAGCAGAUACAUCUUUGAAGUAGAGGAAUAAACUGUGCGAUAUGAGCCAUCAAAACUAUCAGGUUCAAUAUAUUCAUUUAUCUGCUUUGCCCUAGCUACCGCUAUUCUUGGGAAACCAAAAGAGCUACCAAAGGAUGGUAUCAACUCUUUCAAUCAUUUUCUGCUGCAUCCGGUGAAGUAAAUGUUGCAUCUAAUUUAAAGAAAUGUUGCAUCUUGUUGAAGACCUAAAAAAUGCAGUGGCUUGAUGAUUCUGUGUUGUUGUUGUUGUUUCCUUGCUUUUGGUCAUGUUGCUUUUUCUUUUUUUUUUUUGGUAAAUUGGGUUGCUUCUUUUAUCAUACUGUAUUUUCUGCUGUUGCUUUUGUACGUGUCAUAUAUAAAAACUCAGUGGUAAAUUGACUGGUUUAUGCUGAUGCUACUGUCGUUGCUUCUUUGGCUUUCUAGACUUUUUGUGCAGUUAUUGCUUUCUUCUCAUGGUUUGUAUGUUGUAUCUGUUGUACAUAUGUUCAUGUCAGAUGUAAACAAGGCCUAGAUUGGCUAAAUGGUAUUGUUCUCAUCUUUUGCUUGCUUUAGACAAUUCCCA
Molecule: RNA transcript, 2075 nt
Organism: Camellia sinensis
Lineage: Eukaryota; Viridiplantae; Streptophyta; Magnoliopsida; Ericales; Theaceae
Gene name: putative disease resistance RPP13-like protein 1
Source: RefSeq, a predicted model, not a curated record